GGGUCAGUGAUAACAAACCAAUGUCACAAAGAGAGAUGAUGACAUACAACUAUGCUCAAUAGGAUCACACUGAAGACC
Molecule: small nucleolar RNA, 78 nt
Organism: Arvicola amphibius (Eurasian water vole)
Lineage: Eukaryota; Metazoa; Chordata; Mammalia; Rodentia; Cricetidae
Product: small nucleolar RNA SNORD115
Exons: 1
Source: RefSeq, a predicted model, not a curated record